GAUGAACGCUGGCGGCGUGCCUAAUACAUGCAAGUAGAACGCUGAAGGAGGAGCUUGCUCUUCUGGAUGAGUUGCGAACGGGUGAGUAACGCGUAGGUAACCUGCCUGGUAGCGGGGGAUAACUAUUGGAAACGAUAGCUAAUACCGCAUGACAACAGUUAUUGCAUGAUAACUGUUUAAAAGGGGCAACUGCUCCACUACCAGAUGGACCUGCGUUGUAUUAGCUAGUUGGUGAGGUAACGGCUCACCAAGGCGACGAUACAUAGCCGACCUGAGAGGGUGGUCGGCCACACUGGGACUGGGACACGGCCCAGACUCCUACGGGAGGCAGCAGUAGGGAAUCUUCGGCAAUGGACGGAAGUCUGACCGAGCAACGCCGCGUGAGUGAAGAAGGUUUUCGGAUCGUAAAGCUCUGUUGUAAGAGAAGAACGAGUGUGAGAGUGGAAAGUUCACACUGUGACGGUAUCUUACCAGAAAGGGACGGCUAACUACGUG
Molecule: ribosomal RNA, 495 nt
Filed under: uncultured bacterium
Lineage: Bacteria
Description: partial 16S ribosomal RNA
Rfam family: Bacterial small subunit ribosomal RNA
Source: RNAcentral